This 2302-nucleotide ribosomal RNA is filed under the name Listeria monocytogenes. RNAcentral describes it as "bacterial LSU rRNA". It matches the Rfam family "Bacterial large subunit ribosomal RNA", at positions 3 to 2297 of the family's 2925-position model. The record is from RNAcentral. Lineage: Bacteria; Bacillati; Bacillota; Bacilli; Caryophanales; Listeriaceae.
UUAAGUUAGAAAGGGCGCACGGUGGAUGCCUUGGCACUAGGAGCCGAAGAAGGACGGGACUAACACCGAUAUGCUUUGGGGAGCUGUACGUAAGCGUUGAUCCAGAGAUUUCCGAAUGGGGGAACCCACUAUCUUUAGUCGGAUAGUAUCCUUACGUGAAUACAUAGCGUGAGGAAGGCAGACCCAGGGAACUGAAACAUCUAAGUACCUGGAGGAAGAGAAAGAAAAAUCGAUUUCCUGAGUAGCGGCGAGCGAAACGGAAAGAGCCCAAACCAAGAAGCUUGCUUCUUGGGGUUGUAGGACACUCUAUACGGAGUUACAAAAGAAAGUUAUAAAUGAAGCGGUCUGGAAAGGCCCGCCAAAGACGGUAACAGCCCGGUAGUUGAAAUAGCUUUCCCUCCAGAGUGGAUCCUGAGUACGGCGGAACACGUGAAAUUCCGUCGGAAUCCGGGAGGACCAUCUCCCAAGGCUAAAUACUCCCUAGUGACCGAUAGUGAACCAGUACCGUGAGGGAAAGGUGAAAAGCACCCCGGAAGGGGAGUGAAACAGUUCCUGAAACCGUGUGCCUACAAGUAGUUAGAGCCCGUUAAUGGGUGAUAGCGUGCCUUUUGUAGAAUGAACCGGCGAGUUACGAUUUGUUGCAAGGUUAAGCGGAAAAAGCGGAGCCGUAGCGAAAGCGAGUCUGAAUAGGGCGCAUAAGUAACAGGUCGUAGACCCGAAACCAGGUGAUCUACCCAUGUCCAGGAUGAAGGUAAGGUAAUACUUACUGGAGGUCCGAACCCACGCACGUUGAAAAGUGCGGGGAUGAGGUGUGGGUAGCGGAGAAAUUCCAAUCGAACUUGGAGAUAGCUGGUUCUCUCCGAAAUAGCUUUAGGGCUAGCCUCGAGGUAAAGAGUCAUGGAGGUAGAGCACUGUUUGGACUAGGGGCCCUUCUCGGGUUACCGAAUUCAGAUAAACUCCGAAUGCCAUGUACUUAUACUCGGGAGUCAGACUGCGAGUGAUAAGAUCCGUAGUCGAAAGGGAAACAGCCCAGACCACCAGUUAAGGUCCCCAAAUAUAUGUUAAGUGGAAAAGGAUGUGGGGUUGCUUAGACAACCAGGAUGUUGGCUUAGAAGCAGCCACCAUUGAAAGAGUGCGUAAUAGCUCACUGGUCGAGUGACCCCGCGCCGAAAAUGUACCGGGGCUAAACAUAUUACCGAAACUGUGGAUGAACCUCUUUAGAGGUUCGUGGUAGGAGAGCGUUCUAAGGGCGGUGAAGUCAGACCGGAAGGACUGGUGGAGCGCUUAGAAGUGAGAAUGCCGGUAUGAGUAGCGAAAGAAGGGUGAGAAUCCCUUCCACCGAAUAUCUAAGGUUUCCUGAGGAAGGCUCGUCCGCUCAGGGUUAGUCGGGACCUAAGCCGAGGCCGAUAGGCGUAGGCGAUGGACAACAGGUAGAGAUUCCUGUACCAGUGCUAAUUGUUUAACCGAUGGGGUGACACAGAAGGAUAGGGAAUCGCACGAAUGGAAAUGUGCGUCCAAGCAGUGAGUGUGAGAAGUAGGCAAAUCCGCUUCUCGCGAAGCAUGAGCUGUGAUGGGGAAGGAAAUUAAGUACGGAAGUUCCUGAUUUCACGCUGUCAAGAAAAGCCUCUAGGAAGAGUAGUACUGCCCGUACCGCAAACCGACACAGGUAGAUGAGGAGAGAAUCCUAAGGUGAGCGAGAGAACUCUCGUUAAGGAACUCGGCAAAAUGACCCCGUAACUUCGGGAGAAGGGGUGCUCUAUUAGGGUGCAAGCCCGAGAGAGCCGCAGUGAAUAGGCCCAGGCGACUGUUUAGCAAAAACACAGGUCUCUGCAAAACCGUAAGGUGACGUAUAGGGGCUGACGCCUGCCCGGUGCUGGAAGGUUAAGAGGAGUGCUUAGCUUCGGCGAAGGUACGAAUUGAAGCCCCAGUAAACGGCGGCCGUAACUAUAACGGUCCUAAGGUAGCGAAAUUCCUUGUCGGGUAAGUUCCGACCCGCACGAAAGGCGCAACGAUCUGGGCACUGUCUCAACGAGAGACUCGGUGAAAUUAUAGUACCUGUGAAGAUGCAGGUUACCCGCGACAGGACGGAAAGACCCCGUGGAGCUUUACUGCAACCUGAUAUGGAAUGUUUGUACCGCUUGUACAGGAUAGGUAGGAGCCGAAGAGACGUGUGCGCUAGCAUACGAGGAGGCAAUGGUGGGAUACUACCCUGGCUGUAUGACCAUUCUAACCCGCCACGCUUAGCGCGUGGGGAGACAGUGUCAGGUGGGCAGUUUGACUGGGGCGGUCGCCUCCUAAAGAG